Molecule: ribosomal RNA, 301 nt
Filed under: uncultured bacterium
Lineage: Bacteria
Description: partial 16S ribosomal RNA
Rfam family: Bacterial small subunit ribosomal RNA
Source: RNAcentral
CAGCAGCCGCGGUAAGACGGAGGGUGCUAGCGUUGUUCGGAAUCACUGGGCGUAAAGGGCGCGUAGGCGGCCUGUUAAGUCGGAUGUGAAAGCCCGGGGCUCAACCCCGGAACUGCAUCCGAGACUGGCAGGCUUGAGACCGGGAGAGGAGGGUGGAAUAUCCAGUGUAGAGGUGAAAUUCGUAGAUAUUGGAUGGAACACCGGUGGCGAAAGCGGCUCUCUGGCCCGGAUCUGACGCUGAGGCGCGAAAGCGUGGGGAGCAAACAGGAUUAGAUACCCCUGUAGUCCCUGUCUCUUAUAC